RNAcentral lists this ribosomal RNA (449 nucleotides) under uncultured bacterium. Its description in RNAcentral is "partial 16S ribosomal RNA". It matches the Rfam family "Bacterial small subunit ribosomal RNA", at positions 29 to 523 of the family's 1533-position model. The record is from RNAcentral.
AACGAACGCUGGCGGCAUGCCUAACACAUGCAAGUCGAACGAGAUCUUCGGGUCUAGUGGCGCACGGGUGCGUAACGCGUGGGAAUCUGCCCUUUGGUUCGGAAUAAUAGUUGGAAACGACUGCUAAUACCGGAUGAUGACGAAAGUCCAAAGAUUUAUCGCCAGAGGAUGAGCCCGCGUAGGAUUAGCUAGUUAGUGUGGUAAAGGCGCACCAAGGCGACGAUCCUUAGCUGGUCUGAGAGGAUGAUCAGCCACACUGGGACUGAGACACGGCCCAGACUCCUACGGGAGGCAGCAGUGGGGAAUAUUGGACAAUGGGCGAAAGCCUGAUCCAGCAAUGCCGCGUGAGUGAUGAAGGCCUUAGGGUUGUAAAGCUCUUUUACCCGGGAUGAUAAUGACAGUACCGGGAGAAUAAGCUCCGGCUAACUCCGUGCCAGCCGCCGCAGUAA